UGUGGACUGGUGGGCAUUUGAUUUGCAUAUACUACCAAAGGAGGAGAGAGGCCUAGGUGAGAGGGUACGGUGGAUGGUUUCACCUCAUUUAUACUCAUCUUGAAAGAGAACUCAGAGCUGGACUCUUACUCCUAUUGCCCAGAUGGAUUUUAAAGAGACACGGGACCUCACUGUGAAAUGGUACUCCCGGUAACUAAGGAACCAGACUUCCUGUUUUCUCUUCACUAUGGAACUCACCUAUUUUAAGAUAGUCUCCCUUCAUCCAUUCUUGAUUCCUAAGCUUCUACUUUUUCAGUAAAAGUUCCUGCUUUUCAAGAAGUUCUUUUGAAGUCCUACCCUGGUUUGAACAACUUGUUGAGAAUUCAGCAACUUGAGGCAUGCCUGUUAGAGGAGACCACACCACCAGAUCAGAAAGCAGAGGAUGUAAUGUGUCCAGCAUUGCAAAGGCAGAGAGGAGAGCAGGAUUUUAGAUGCAGACCUGCCUGCCCACCAUGUCCAUGUUCUAUGACCACACUUUUCUCUUUCCUGUUCACGCCACAAAAGAUCUCACCGGCUGUGGGACCAGCAGAAGGAACACAAACCUUCAGGUACUCCCCAAGGUUCAAAUUCUCAAGCUAGCAGCGACAGCACUCAGAGGCCAGGGACCAUGAUCUGUUCAUCUUAUGCCCCAGCACCUGUCUUAGGACUCGGCAUAUAGGAGUCACUCAACAGUUUGCUGAAUUAAAUGAAAUUGAACUUGGCUUUGCUGCAUUUAACAAAAAUGUAAUCAUCAAUUAUAAUGUAUACCUUUGUUUUUUAUUCCUAAGAAGAAAGCACUACUGAUUAUAACUGUAAGAUAUAUACCAAUCAAUGAUGUACAUCAUCAGUUUUAAGAGAUGUUAAAUCUGAUUUCAAU
RNAcentral lists this long non-coding RNA (895 nucleotides) under Homo sapiens (human). RNAcentral describes it as "HSALNT0020487". Lineage: Eukaryota; Metazoa; Chordata; Mammalia; Primates; Hominidae. The record is from RNAcentral.